Non-coding RNA from Vigna angularis (adzuki bean), 114 nucleotides. The record is from Rfam. NCBI's taxonomy places the organism in Eukaryota, Viridiplantae, Streptophyta, Magnoliopsida, Fabales, Fabaceae.
UUUUUUGACGUAUAUAUGCAUUGAUCAUCCCAUCAGAAUUCCGCAGUUAAGCGUGCUUGGGCGAGAGUAGUACUAGGAUGGGUGACCUCCUGGGAAGUCCUCGUGUUGCACCUC